UCGGGAAUUUUGGGCAAUGGGCGAAAGCCUGACCCAGCAACGCCGCGUGAAGGAUGAAGUAUUUCGGUAUGUAAACUUCGUAAGAAUAGGAAGAAUAAAUGACGGUACUAUUUGUAAGGUCCGGCUAACUACGUGCCAGCAGCCGCGGUAAUACGUAGGGACCAAGCGUUGUUCGGAUUUACUGGGCGUAAAGGGCGCGUAGGCGGUGUGUCAAGUCAGUUGUGAAAUCUCCGAGCUUAACUCGGAACGGUCAACUGAUACUGUCACACUAGAGUACAGAAGGGGCAAUCGGAAUUCUUGGUGUAGCGGUGAAAUGCGUAGAUAUCAAGAGGAACACCUGAGGCGAAGGCGGGUUGCUGGGCUGAUACUGACGCUGAGGCGCGAAAGCUAGGGUAGCAAACGGGAUUAGAUACCCCAGUAGUCCCUGA
Molecule: ribosomal RNA, 428 nt
Filed under: uncultured bacterium
Lineage: Bacteria
Description: bacterial SSU rRNA
Rfam family: Bacterial small subunit ribosomal RNA
Source: RNAcentral